RNAcentral lists this ribosomal RNA (2904 nucleotides) under Yersinia pestis. RNAcentral's name for it is "Bacterial large subunit ribosomal RNA". It matches the Rfam family "Bacterial large subunit ribosomal RNA". The record is from RNAcentral. Lineage: Bacteria; Pseudomonadati; Pseudomonadota; Gammaproteobacteria; Enterobacterales; Yersiniaceae.
GUUAAGCGACUAAGCGUACACGGUGGAUGCCUAGGCAGUCAGAGGCGAUGAAGGGCGUGCUAAUCUGCGAAAAGCGUCGGUAAGCUGAUAUGAAGCGUUAUAACCGACGAUACCCGAAUGGGGAAACCCAGUGCAAUACGUUGCACUAUCGUUAGAUGAAUACAUAGUCUAACGAGGCGAACCGGGGGAACUGAAACAUCUAAGUACCCCGAGGAAAAGAAAUCAACCGAGAUUCCCCCAGUAGCGGCGAGCGAACGGGGAGGAGCCCAGAGUCUGAAUCAGUUUGUGUGUUAGUGGAAGCGUCUGGAAAGUCGCACGGUACAGGGUGAUAGUCCCGUACACCAAAAUGCACAGGCUGUGAACUCGAUGAGUAGGGCGGGACACGUGACAUCCUGUCUGAAUAUGGGGGGACCAUCCUCCAAGGCUAAAUACUCCUGACUGACCGAUAGUGAACCAGUACCGUGAGGGAAAGGCGAAAAGAACCCCGGCGAGGGGAGUGAAAUAGAACCUGAAACCGUGUACGUACAAGCAGUGGGAGCACCUUCGUGGUGUGACUGCGUACCUUUUGUAUAAUGGGUCAGCGACUUAUAUUUUGUAGCAAGGUUAACCGAAUAGGGGAGCCGUAGGGAAACCGAGUCUUAACUGGGCGUCUAGUUGCAAGGUAUAGACCCGAAACCCGGUGAUCUAGCCAUGGGCAGGUUGAAGGUUGGGUAACACUAACUGGAGGACCGAACCGACUAAUGUUGAAAAAUUAGCGGAUGACUUGUGGCUGGGGGUGAAAGGCCAAUCAAACCGGGAGAUAGCUGGUUCUCCCCGAAAGCUAUUUAGGUAGCGCCUCGUGAACUCAUCUUCGGGGGUAGAGCACUGUUUCGGCUAGGGGGCCAUCCCGGCUUACCAAACCGAUGCAAACUCCGAAUACCGAAGAAUGUUAUCACGGGAGACACACGGCGGGUGCUAACGUCCGUCGUGAAGAGGGAAACAACCCAGACCGCCAGCUAAGGUCCCAAAGUCAUGGUUAAGUGGGAAACGAUGUGGGAAGGCACAGACAGCCAGGAUGUUGGCUUAGAAGCAGCCAUCAUUUAAAGAAAGCGUAAUAGCUCACUGGUCGAGUCGGCCUGCGCGGAAGAUGUAACGGGGCUAAACCAUGCACCGAAGCUGCGGCAGCGACACUUAGGUGUUGUUGGGUAGGGGAGCGUUCUGUAAGCCGUUGAAGGUGACCUGUGAGGGUUGCUGGAGGUAUCAGAAGUGCGAAUGCUGACAUAAGUAACGAUAAUGCGGGUGAAAAACCCGCACGCCGGAAGACCAAGGGUUCCUGUCCAACGUUAAUCGGGGCAGGGUGAGUCGACCCCUAAGGCGAGGCUGAAAAGCGUAGUCGAUGGGAAACAGGUUAAUAUUCCUGUACUUGGUGUUACUGCGAAGGGGGGACGGAGAAGGCUAGGCUGGCCGGGCGACGGUUGUCCCGGUUUAAGCGUGUAGGGGGAGUGACCAGGUAAAUCCGGUUGCUUAUCAACCCUGAGGCGUGAUGACGAUGCACUACGGUGCAGAAGCAGUUGAUGCCAUGCUUCCAGGAAAAGCCUCUAAGCAUCAGGUAACAUUAAAUCGUACCCCAAACCGACACAGGUGGUCAGGUAGAGAAUACUCAGGCGCUUGAGAGAACUCGGGUGAAGGAACUAGGCAAAAUGGUGCCGUAACUUCGGGAGAAGGCACGCUGGCGUUAGGUGAAAGGACUAGCUCCUGGAGCUGAAGCCAGUCGCAGAUACCAGCUGGCUGCAACUGUUUAAUAAAAACACAGCACUGUGCAAACACGAAAGUGGACGUAUACGGUGUGACGCCUGCCCGGUGCUGGAAGGUUAAUUGAUGGGGUCAGCCACAAGGCGAAGCUCUUGAUCGAAGCCCCAGUAAACGGCGGCCGUAACUAUAACGGUCCUAAGGUAGCGAAAUUCCUUGUCGGGUAAGUUCCGACCUGCACGAAUGGCGUAAUGAUGGCCAGGCUGUCUCCACCCGAGACUCAGUGAAAUUGAACUCGCUGUGAAGAUGCAGUGUACCCGCGGCAAGACGGAAAGACCCCGUGAACCUUUACUAUAGCUUGACACUGAACAUUGAGCCUUGAUGUGUAGGAUAGGUGGGAGGCCUUGAAGUGUGGACGCCAGUCUGCAUGGAGCCAACCUUGAAAUACCACCCUUUAAUGUUUGAUGUUCUAACUCGGCCCCAUAAUCUGGGGUGAGGACAGUGUCUGGUGGGUAGUUUGACUGGGGCGGUCUCCUCCCAAAGAGUAACGGAGGAGCACGAAGGUUAGCUAAUCACGGUCGGACAUCGUGAGGUUAGUGCAAAGGCAUAAGCUAGCUUGACUGCGAGAGUGACGGCUCGAGCAGGUACGAAAGUAGGUCUUAGUGAUCCGGUGGUUCUGAAUGGAAGGGCCAUCGCUCAACGGAUAAAAGGUACUCCGGGGAUAACAGGCUGAUACCGCCCAAGAGUUCAUAUCGACGGCGGUGUUUGGCACCUCGAUGUCGGCUCAUCACAUCCUGGGGCUGAAGUAGGUCCCAAGGGUAUGGCUGUUCGCCAUUUAAAGUGGUACGCGAGCUGGGUUUAGAACGUCGUGAGACAGUUCGGUCCCUAUCUGCCGUGGGCGUUGGAAGAUUGAGAGGGGCUGCUCCUAGUACGAGAGGACCGGAGUGGACGAAUCACUGGUGUUCGGGUUGUCAUGCCAAUGGCAUUGCCCGGUAGCUAAAUUCGGAAGAGAUAACCGCUGAAAGCAUCUAAGCGGGAAACUUGCCUCGAGAUGAGUCUUCCCUGGGGCUUAAAGCCCCCUGAAGGAACGUUAAAGACUAUGACGUUGAUAGGCUGGGUGUGUAAGUGCAGCGAUGUAUUGAGCUAACCAGUACUAAUGAUCCGUGAGGCUUAACC